UACGGAGGGGGCGAGCGUUAUUCGGAAUCAUUGGGCGUAAAGGGCGCGUAGGCGGCUUCAUAAGUCCUGGGUGAAAGCCCUCGGCUCAACCGAGGAAUUGCCUUGGAUACUGUGAAGCUCGAGGCUGGAAGAGGGCAGUGGAAUUCCCAGUGUAGAGGUGAAAUUCGUAGAUAUUCGGAAGAACACCAGUGGCGAAGGCGACUCACUGGCCCGAUACUGACGCUGAGGCGCGAAAGCGUGGGGAGCAAACAGG
This 253-nucleotide ribosomal RNA is filed under the name uncultured bacterium. RNAcentral's name for it is "partial 16S ribosomal RNA". It matches the Rfam family "Bacterial small subunit ribosomal RNA", at positions 524 to 776 of the family's 1533-position model. The record is from RNAcentral.